CUAGGUGCUUCAAACGACUAGGCCCUACCUGAUCCCAUCUCGAACUCAGCAGUAAAACUAGUCAGUGUCGAUGAUAGCGGCAACGCGAAAGUAGACCAGCGCCUGGA
This 107-nucleotide ribosomal RNA is filed under the name Candidatus Magasanikbacteria bacterium RIFCSPLOWO2_02_FULL_43_22. Lineage: Bacteria; Candidatus Magasanikiibacteriota. RNAcentral also lists the same sequence under 2 other names. The record is from RNAcentral.